GCACUCGUAGUUCAGCGGUAGAACGCUUCGUUGACAUCGAAGAGGUGGAAGGUCCGACUCCUUCCGGGUGCA
RNAcentral lists this transfer RNA (72 nucleotides) under Candidatus Microgenomates bacterium. RNAcentral describes it as "tRNA-Val". It matches the Rfam family "tRNA". From Rfam's summary of the family: Transfer RNA (tRNA) molecules are approximately 80 nucleotides in length. Lineage: Bacteria; Candidatus Microgenomatota. The record is from RNAcentral.